This 98-nucleotide small nuclear RNA is filed under the name Otolemur garnettii (small-eared galago). Lineage: Eukaryota; Metazoa; Chordata; Mammalia; Primates; Galagidae. The record is from RNAcentral.
GUGCUUGCUUCAGCACCAAAAGUGGAAUGAUACAGAGAAGAUUAGCAUGGCCCCUGCGCAAGGAUGACACACAAAUUCGUGAAGCAUUCCAUAUUCUU